RNAcentral lists this ribosomal RNA (718 nucleotides) under uncultured fungus. RNAcentral describes it as "SSU rRNA". It matches the Rfam family "Eukaryotic small subunit ribosomal RNA", at positions 827 to 1570 of the family's 1831-position model. Lineage: Eukaryota; Fungi. The record is from RNAcentral.
ACUUUGGUUCUAUUUUGUUGGUUUCUAGGACCAGAGUAAUGAUUAAUAGGGAUAGUUGGGGGCAUUAGUAUUUCAUUGUCAGAGGUGAAAUUCUUGGAUUUAUGAAAGACUAACUUCUGCGAAAGCAUUUGCCAAGGAUGUUUUCAUUAAUCAAGAACGAAAGUUAGGGGAUCGAAGACGAUUAGAUACCGUCGUAGUCUUAACCAUAAACUAUGCCGACUAAGGAUCGGACGAUGUUAUUUUGGACUCGUUCGGCACUUUAUGAGAAAUCAAAGUGUUUGGGCUCUGGGGGGAGUACGGUCGCAAGGCUGAAACUUAAAGGAAUUGACGGAAGGGCACCACCAGGAGUGGAGCCUGCGGCUUAAUUUGACUCAACACGGGGAAACUCACCAGGUCCAGACAUAGGAAGGAUUGACAGAUUGAGAGCUCUUUCUUGAUUCUAUGGGUGGUGGUGCAUGGCCGUUCUUAGUUGGUGGAGUGAUUUGUCUGGUUAAUUCCGAUAACGAACGAGACCUUAACCUGCUAAAUAGUUGUGCAAACCACGUGUUUGUGAUGACUUCUUAGAGGGACUACGGAUGUUUAAUCCGUGGAAGUUUGAGGCAAUAACAGGUCUGUGAUGCCCUUAGAUGUUCUGGGCUGCACGUGCGCUACACUGAUGAAGGCAGCGGGUUGUACCUUGGCCCGAGAGGUCCGGGGAAUCUUGUAAACUUUAUCGUGC